CAUAUAAAUACAGACAUUUUAUAUUUAUCUCUGUUUGGCUUUUCCAGCUGCUGCUGCCAUCCAACAGACUUACAAUGCCAUCAAGUUUCUUCUUUAUGCUGGGUUUGGUUGUGGGGACCGCCAUAGCAAACAAAACAACACCUGAGAACGGCCCAAACACCUCCAUCACCACCGCCAACACCUUCAUCACCAACACCAGCACAAUGAGCACGACCAUCAAUUAUGAUCGAACUACCAUCAAGACAAGCAACUCAAGUACUGAAUUGAACGUCAGCACUGAAUCUUCAACAGAUAAGCCUUCUGGAAACAGCGCAAUAAGUGUUUCUACUACAGGUAAAGCAAACCCCAGCACUCAGACUGUCACUGAAAGCACCACAAAGCCUCAAACCACACCUGCACCGGGUGGUUCUGUGACAUCUCAAACCACAAAAGGCACAUCCCCGAAGAGUUCCACGUCCAGUCCAAAGACAGCCGGCUCUGACAAAACUGGUAUCAUCAUUCUAGUCAUUCUCAUCCUCGUGGUUGUGGGAUUUUUAAUUGCCUGUUACGUGACACAGAAAAGAAGAAGACGCUACUCGGUUGAUUUUAACUCCAGACAAGAUGAAGUCAACAUCCCUCUCAGCACCGUGGAGCCUGUUGAUACCGCACCUCAAAAUGGUCUGAAAACUUUUGAAAGUACAGAAACUACUGCGAAAGAGCCAGAAGAACCGGAGGCAAAGCCAGAAGCCGCAGAUGAAGUUAAACCCGAAGCACAGGAGGAGCAGAAAGCUGAGACUGAUAAAUCUGUUGCUGAUCCCAGCACUGAGUCUGCAACUCCAGUUCCUGCUCCAGCUCCAGACAGCUCUGAGGACAAGCCCAAAGCGGAUUUAGCUGAGCCUCCUGCACCUGUGGAGUCCACUGUGGAAGUCAAAACUGAUGACGAGGCCACUGUCUCCAACAAGACUUCAGUGGAGUCCCUGAAGGAGACAAAUGAGAACAACAGCAACAACGCUGGCUUCAUUCAGACGAGAAGUUGAUUUGAUCUUCUGGGAAGUUCCUCUCGACUGUCCGAUGUGAGAUAUUGUGGCAGCCUGGUAACCGUGCCGUUCCUCAGAAACUUGACCAAAGAAAAAAAAGAGGCCGUCGGGGAAAAGGAUAUUUCUCUUCAAACUGUAUUCACUGAUGACUGUGAUACAAGCUUGUUUUUUUGUAGUAUAUACAGUAAUGUGGAAAAGUCUUGAGCCAACCGAUAUUUCUUUGUAUUUUGCGAGACAAAUUGGAAAUAUUAUUUAUUUUUAAACAUGUCCAAGUAUACGUGGACGUACAAUAUGUAAUCAAAUACUAAGUUUGCAUAAUUCUAGUGAGGUAUAAAGUCAAUAUUUGGUAUGACAGCGGAAAGCUUUCUUGUCAUUUCUUAAAGUAGUCUUCAGGAAUAGUUCUCCAGGCCUCUUGAAGGACAUUCAAAGCUCUUCUUUGGAUGUUGGCUGCUUUUCAUUCUGUUCUCCAUCAAGAUGAUCCCACACUGCUUCAAUAAUGUUGAGGUCCAGGCUCUGUGGAGUCCGAUUCAUGACUGAUGGUGUUCCACUGUGUGUUUUUCUAUUGCAUAGUUCAGCGGUCCCCAACCUUUUUUGCGCCACGGACCGGUUUAUGUCUGACAAUAUUUUCAUGGACCAGCCUUUAACGUGUCGCGGAUAAAUACAACAAAAUAAAACCAAUACCGGUACCAAAAAAAGUAAGAUUUAUUCAUAACACACGGGAAAAGACCCAGGGAAACCGAGUUAACGAUAAAAUGGAUAAAAAAUAAUGCUAACAACGAAUAGCAAAACCAUGAAUUUCACACCCAAGCCUCAACUCUCGUGGCCCGGUACCAAACGACUGCGGGCCGUGGCCUGGGCGUUGGGGACCGCUGGCAUAGUGGAUAAAAGUCUGAUGGAUGUUUCUCUGAAAAUGUCAGGUACUACGACUGGAGUGAAAAAACAGCCAAUGUCCAAAGAAAAACUUUGAAAGACCUUCAGAAAGCCUGGAGGACUAUUGAUCCUGCUACCAGAACAUCUGGCUUCUUGAAAGCAAAAUACUUUUUAAAUUGAGGUGUAUCUCAAGACUUUUGGACAGUGCUGUAAGCUUUUUCAAACUUAAAUGUUAGCUUUUCAUUGUUUUAGUAAUAACUGAACUUGUCUUUUGAAUAUGUAUUGUGGCUUUUAUUCAUCACUGUUCAGGUCAUAACCCCUACAAUAGACUGGCGCUCUGUCCAAGUGUGUACUGCACCUCUUACCCAAUGGCUGACAAACACCAAUCAAACCAUUUUGUUUGGUUUACACUUAUUGUUAACCAAUCAAAAACAAACAAAAAUUCUAAUUUAAUUUAAAACAUUAUACAUAAUCCAUUUUAGAGGCACACAAAGCACUUACUACACAUGUUUUUGCGAUAUUGUAAAAAAAAAAAAAGUGUUUUAUAAAUUUACAAAGUGAGUGUGAAGCAGAGAAUAUGUAUUCAGAUUUGCUUACUUAAUAAAUACACUGGCUGUAAGUGGUAAUCAUUUCCAAAAUGGUUGUUUAAGAAUCACCCGUUUCAGGCAUUCAGAAAUAAUGUAAAAGCACUCCUAACUAAUGGAUAUAUUAACUAAUAUUAAUCAUUUAAGCACAAUUUUAAAAUAAAACAUGCAUAUUAAGGUUUUCUACAUUGUUAUUACUGGCCUUUAUAUAAAUAAUGUAAAUAAAUCUAUGCAUAAGUGUGUGUGUAUAUACAAUGAUUGGCUUUAUAUGGUCACUGCUACUUCACCAAACAAAGUUAUUUGAAUGCUGGCUCCAAAACUCUUUACUCAUUUUGGCAUGUAUUUGUAAAAUAUGAAUAAUAUGAAAAUAACAGAGGCUUUUCAGAUCUGAUCAAAUUUUGCUUUCCUCAGUUUAAGAUGAAGUGCUUUACAGAAGCUCCAUUUUGCUGUUUUAUGUUCUUCCUAUAACAGUGUGAAGCUUCGUGUUGCACUACUUGUU
Pelmatolapia mariae (spotted tilapia) is the source of this 2969-nucleotide RNA transcript. RefSeq lists it as uncharacterized. Lineage: Eukaryota; Metazoa; Chordata; Actinopteri; Cichliformes; Cichlidae. The transcript has 10 exons. The record is from RefSeq and is a predicted model, not a curated record.